This 409-nucleotide long non-coding RNA is filed under the name Panax ginseng (ginseng). Its description in RNAcentral is "long non-coding RNA (PGIN_LNC004272)". The record is from RNAcentral. Lineage: Eukaryota; Viridiplantae; Streptophyta; Magnoliopsida; Apiales; Araliaceae.
AUAGAAGGAAAUAAUGUAUUAAUUGGUAUCAAAGCGAGAUUUUGUUCAUUAUUUUAUGAAUAAAAAUUGUAUAUAUUGAGAUGAGGAUAAUAUCAUGACACACCAAGUUCGAGGUUCAAGGGACCAGGAUUUGGGGGCGUGAGGCAGUAAUCAUCACCUGAGUUGCGUCAAUACAUCAAAACCCUCAUUUCAACUUUUUGAACAGCCACAAAAACCAAUUUUCAUCAUAUCAUUCCAUCUGGAACCAUUUUGCCCGUCAAAGCAAAGGCUGUGAUUUAUUUCGCAGAUAACCUACACUAACAUCAAUUUUAUGCUUCCUAAUAAAAAAUUUAGUAAUCAAAUCCAUAAAUUUUUGCCUCUGAUUUUUCAAUUUUCACCAAGUCUCUGAGAAUCCCACCGCAAAUCUCAA